Molecule: long non-coding RNA, 652 nt
Organism: Arachis duranensis
Lineage: Eukaryota; Viridiplantae; Streptophyta; Magnoliopsida; Fabales; Fabaceae
Exons: 3
Source: RefSeq, a predicted model, not a curated record
GUGAGCCAACCCCCUUCUUCCCCAAUCAUUCGUGAAUCGUCCUAAUCCUGGAGAACUCUCAAGCCAAGGGAAACUCUAGCCCUUCAUCGCCGCCGCCGUUCCCAGGUCCACAGCGCCACCACCGUCCCCAGGUCGUCAGCGCCGCUGCUUCUUCCUCUCCCCCGUGUCCGAAACCUAGUAGCGCGGCACGUCGUCUUCAUCUUCGCAUGCUUUCCGGCACGGAGCCCAGUGGCACAAGAAGAGUAUGCGAACAAUGGAAAUGCUACUGGGGAUUUAAAUUCCGAUGAUAGAGGUAUUGAGCGAUGAAGUAUUUUCAAAACAAUUCUGAUGACAACAAUCAUCUCACACACAGUGGCAAUGAUCCACAUGCCAAGAAAAAGGCACAUGUCAUACAAGAACAGAACAAUGCAAAGUAUAGGAACAGAUAUUUUAUCUAUUGUUUAUAAUUUAUUUAUUUUAUUAUUCUAAAACGGUUUUUUCGGUUGAACCACCGGUUAGACCGAUUAGACCAAUAAACCAGUUACUAGAAUAGUUUGAUGACUGAUUCGGUUUUCAAAACCUUGGGUGUAACUAUGAUUAAAUGACUUUUGUUAUGACAAAGGAAGAGAAUAUAGUUUGUGAGCUAAUCAUGAUUAGUUCUUCCUCCUCUCAA